RNAcentral lists this ribosomal RNA (1304 nucleotides) under uncultured bacterium. Its description in RNAcentral is "partial 16S ribosomal RNA". It matches the Rfam family "Bacterial small subunit ribosomal RNA", at positions 97 to 1401 of the family's 1533-position model. The record is from RNAcentral.
GGCGGGCGGGUGAGUAACGCGUGAGGAACCUGCCUUUCAGAGGGGGACAACAGUUGGAAACGACUGCUAAUACCGCAUAACGCAUAGGAGUCGCAUGGCUCCAAUGCCAAAGAUUUAUCGCUGAAAGAUGGCCUCGCGUCCGAUUAGCUGGUUGGCGGGGUAACGGCCCACCAAGGCGACGAUCGGUAGGGGUUCUGAGAGGAAGGUCCCCCACAAUGGAACUGAGACACGGUCCAUACUCCUACGGGAGGCAGCAGUGAGGAAUAUUGGCCAAUGGGCGGAAGCCUGAACCAGCCAUGCCGCGUGCGGGAAGGAGGCCCUAUGGGCUGUGAACCGCUUUUGCGAGGGGGCAAUAAGGGCGUCGCGCACGUCCGAUGAGAGUACCUCGCGAAUAAGCAUCGGCUAACUCCGCGCCAGCAGCCGCGGUAAUACGGGGGAUGCGAGCGUUAUCCGGAUUCAUUGGGUUUAAAGGGUGCGUAGGCUGUGCGUCAAGUCAGGGGUGAAAUUCCCGCGCUCAACGCGGGGGCUGCCUUUGAUACUGUCGCGCUGGAGUGCGGAUGCCGCCGGAGGAAUGAGUGGUGUAGCGGUGAAAUGCUUAGAUAUCACUCAGAACACCGAUUGCGAAGGCAUCUGGCGAAUCCGUAACUGACGCUGAGGCACGAAAGCGUGGGGAUAGAACAGGGUUAGAUACCCUGGUAUUCCACGCCGUAAACGAUGAUGGCUAACCCCCGGCGACACCAGUCCGGGGGCCAGCAAAACCAUAAACCCUCCACCGGGGGAGUACCUCGGGCACAAAGAAACUCAAAGAAUUGACGGGGGCCCCACCACCGAAGGAAAUGUGGUUUAAUUCCAGGAAACCCCAAGGAACCUUACCCGGGCUCGAACGGCAGGGGGAAUCACCCCAGAGAAGGGGGAGUUUUUCGACUCCCCGGCGAAGGGGCUGCAAGGGUUGUUGUCAAGUUCGGGCCGUGAGGUGUCGGUUCCAAGUGCCAUAACGAGCGCCAACCCUUGCCGCCAGUUGCCAUCAGGUGAAGCUGGGCACUCUGGCGGGACUGCCACCGCAAGGUGUGAGGAGGGGGGGAUGACGUCAAAUCAGCACGGCCCUUACGUCCGGGGCGACACACGUGUUACAAUGGCGGCCACAGAGGGAAGCUACCCCGCGAGGGGAUGCGGAUCUCGAAAAGCCGUCCCAGUUCGGACUGGAGUCUGCAACCCGACUCCACGAAGUUGGAUUCGCUAGUAAUCGCGCAUCAGCCAUGGCGCGGUGAAUACGUUCCCGGGCCUUGCACACACCGCCCGUCAAG